AAGGCCUAUCCAGUGUACUGACAGAGCCUUUGCUGCAUGUUUCUGCUUCGUGACAAAGAACAUCAGCAUUGUAUUCUGGUAAAAAAAAAAAAAGAUACCUGGAGAAUACUUGCAGGCUCUGAUCACUUCAGUUUUAGACUAAUAAUUUUUGUCACUAAAUUUCAUGUCAUCCCUCUAUUUAUUUUCUGAACGUUACUGGUGAAGUCUGAGCCCCAGAGGAAGCACUACUACUUCUGUGUGAGGCACUGGCAGGAGCCCGGAUACCUCUGUGAUACUGCAGAGCAGACACUUCCGAGGAGGGGACAGAAGCUGGGUGGCAGGGCGGUUUAGUCCCUGGCUACCCAGCCCUUAUUUCAGUCUCACACGGCAGAGCAGGGCAAGGCAUGACAGCCAUGGGAAAUUCUCUGAAGUUGAGCUGUUAGCAAGGCCGGUGCUCUGCAUAUCACCUCUAAAAUCAAGUGUGCCUGGAUAAAAGAACUCGCGGCUUCUGUAGUCAAAUAUUGAGUUCCCUGGGAGAUCUAUGUGAGCAGAGUGAGCCUCCCGCUCCUUCCUCUAAGUCAAUAGUAGCAAUGCAUUAUCAGAUUGCCUAUUUUCCCAGAUACAUUAAAUCUAGUUUGACAAAGGUGAAAAUGUUAGCUGUUUGCAGCCUGACAGAGUUGGCAAAAUUCAAGACCCUUCAAAAGUAUCAGCUUUGAUUUAAAAUUGUGUCAUGCUUCAGGAGAGCGGCUGUGUGUUCACCUAACCUGGUGGGCUCUGCAGUGGCAGCUUCAUUGCAUCCUGCAGGCAGUCUGAGCUCCACAAAGGGCAGUGCAGGCUCCCCGUCUUGCUGAGACACUCAUGUAUGAAACAUGGCUCUACCAACAAGAUCUUUAGAUUUUCAGAGGAUUUCAGCACAAGGCACAUCCUGCCCUAAUCCAUCUUACAUGGGUGGGCUGAAUUGCCCUUUGGGAGGUGUCAACUUCCCCACCCUUGGUAACCAACAGGAAACAUGCAUCUACUGCAAGAUGCACUCUGACAUGUCAGCAAAAGGUUGUUCCCGCCAAUUCCACCUAAAGGCCGCCAAGGCAGAGCCUGCUGGACACAUAAAGUACAGAUACACCAAGGAGAGAGCAGUCAGUAUCAGUAUGCCUUAAACCCAAACAUAAACAUAGCAAAAUAGUCUAACCCAGGCUAUGCGCAUGCAGUUUGUACCAUAUCACCACUGCCAGUAACAGCCAGCAACGUGGUAAGACUUUGCAACGCAGCUGAGCAGGAGUGUCUAAACUAUAUGGGACUGCAAAAGAGAAGACUGGAGACUUGGAUUAUAAAAAUAACAAACUACUUCUGGGAGAAGCUUACUAUUGUUCAUGUUGCUGAGGUGACUCAUGAUCCUUCAAGGUACUUCACACUAACCACCAGUAGAUGAGAAGCUUCAGCACACUGCACACAGAAUCAUCUCCAAGACAGUAGUAGCAGCAGGAUUUGUCUCAUCUGGCCGCCACUGAAUCGGACACUCAUCGUACAGGAGAAUAAAGCUGGGACUGACUCCAAAAGACCUUCCAAUUCCCCCUGUGUUUUAGUCCAAGAGGACUCUAUUACCAUUAGUGUGGGAGGAAUGAGACCUUGUAUUGAAUGAGCUCAAGGACCUCUGCGGAAUGAGGCAGAUACUGAGCUCUGAAGAAGUGCAGCGUGGGGAUUGAUUCCAGACACCUUUGUGCACCCCACAAACAGCAUCUUGGAUUUGCCCACCAGUUUUAAGAUAUUGACCACUGCCAUCAGACAGCUGUCUGUCACUGCUCAGCUGAUUCCAGCCUGCAGCUCUUGCUCACUGCAGCCUUGCCCCACAUGAAUACAUAAAAUAUUGCUUCUGGCAGCAAGCUGGAGACACCUAUCCGUCUGCACUGAGGAAAGUGGAGAGGGUAAACCAUGCAAUGGGGUCAGGAAACUAUAAACUGCAACUGCUACAGAUGCUCUCCUUCCACUGAAUAAGACUGCAUGUAUCACCCUGACCAUGGCAGCACCUGCAAUGUGGCUGGUUCACAACAUAUUCCUAAUGGAGACACCUGCUCAUUGAACAAAAAUGGUUCAUUCCAAAACAGCAGCAUUUUGGUGCUGCUGUCCCACUCUGAUGCUUCAUCAGAGUAAAAGCUGGAGCACCCGUGUUCUCUGUGGGGUGGGCUUCCUCGGGGAGCUGUCACUUCACAUCUGAGACUAAAAACCCUCCAUGUAUUUAAGCAAGGAAGUGGGGAGGGUAUGUGUGCAUUUCAAAUAGACACAGUCAUUCGUUGAGACUACGACGGAAGAAUAGCUGUGGUCAGAGAAUGGACAGGGAGCCUGUGGGACACAAACGCCACUGGCAAAAGAAAAACUAGCAGAGAAAGGGAUCCGCAGCCCGAGAGGCAUCAGCACAGCAUGCUGACCUGCACACAUCCUCUGCCCACUGCAAACAGGCAGCUCGCUGCCAGCACGUGGCCACAAUAGUGCUCCAGAAGCAGCAGCUACUCACUGCCACGGCUUCCUGCCUAUUACAGUAACAUUAUUAAUCAUUUCAGGACUUCAUAAUGUUUUGACGGACAGAUAGCGUGAGGUUGGAUCUAAUAACAUCUGUUGCUACUAUUCAAGUUUUGCAUUAUUAAAUCAGAUCAAAACUGGCAGAAUCUCACCUUUAGCAGAUCUGAUAUUCCUGGGGACAGCCAAAACUUUUUAAAAGGAGCUAAUGGUUAUUCACCCUUUGAAAAUAAAUACCCAACUCCACUUGGAGGUCACUAGAGAGGACAGCGACGUUUUCCUUUGUAAAAUCAAUGUAAUUACUGAAAAUCCUACAACAGCAAAAAAAAAGAACAAGCGAACCAAGUCUCCACCGUGAGGAUAAGGGGCCAACCCCUGUGCUGGCGUAAAGAGACUUCGGUCUGAGGAGUUCAGAAGCAGAGCUGUGCUCAAGAGAGGACUUGAUUUUGUCUAUUCAUAUUGAUUUGCAUCAUCUGAAGAUCUGCCCCUAUAUCCCUAUAAGAUUAGGAAUGCAUAGUGCUGUGAAGUGAACUGUAUAAUUCAAUAUUUUAUCUUUCCUUCAGGCAGGCAGGCAGGAAGUAUGCUCCAAGGUAAGAACUAAUCAGUAGAGUUGAGAGAAUAAUUUACAGUGGAAUAAUUUACUCAAUGAAUUUAGCUUCUUAUCUGCUCAGAGACUUUGCAGCUCUGGAAAGCAGAAGACAUAAUUGUGGGGUGUCUAUUGCUCGCAGUAUCUCAGGCCAAUGGCUGCACGUCGGGCUGGGCUGUGUAGGGCUGAUUAAUGCUAGGGCCUUUCCUCCCUGACAGGGACUGUAAUUUCCUAACUAGAAGGAACUGAAGAAACCCGAAGCACCUACACCUCUCCUGUGCAGGCUUGGAUCAGCCUUACUUUAGCCUUAGUUUCUCACUGCAGAAAGUCACGUUGGCAGCAGUGCUUCACAGAAUCAUAGAAUCACAGAUUCAUUACAGUUGGAAAAUGAUCUCUAAGAUCAUCCAGUCCGAACCCUAACCCAUUCCCACCAUGCCUACUAACCUGUCCUUCUGUACAUCUCCACAGUUCUUUAAAACCUCCAGGGACAGUGAUUCCACCAUCUCUGUGGGUCUGUUGGCAAACAGAGGAGAACAGCAAAGAUGCUGACAGGCAGCAGAUGAGCAGGUGAUCAAAGGGUCUUCCCAGUACAAGCUGCACACUGGAGCGUGUGUGUAAGAAAUGAAAUACAUUUUUUUCCAGUCUUUCUAUGACUCAUAUGGAUAGCAAAAUGAGAAAAAAAGUACAUGUGUCUUAUCACACUGCAAGGAUUAUCUGUCCCCUCUGAGACCACCUCCGCCUGUCACGUACACAUUUUUACAAGAAUUAAAACUAUUACAGCCAUAUAGCACAGAUACUGUUUUGUAGCUUCCUAAGAGCCAUCACAUGCAGGAAACAAGCACCAAACCCAACACACACUGAGUGCAUCAGCAUUAGCCUCACUGGGAAGAAGCAGCAUUCAUUUCUAGUGGGGCAGCCAGCACAGAAACCCCACAAACCACCGGGAAAUGCUGAUGUCUGCGCCAGAGAACGUGACUCCCAGGAAAAGGGGCACACACUGGCACCUGGCCCCGACAGGGCUGCCAGGAAGGAAGCCUCAGCUUUCCCCUGUCUAGACGUACCAUCACCACGUGAGCCAUCUCCUGCCGUCAUCCCCUGGGGGCUUCCAGCAGACAUGCCGGGAAGCGGCUUUCCCCGAUAACACUCUUUGGAGGACGCAGUUUCAGCAACUCCUUGCACAACAGCAAAAACCCAAAAAGAUUUAAAUCAGUUAGGCAGAGCCCCAGGGGAGUGUGGGGUAGAAGCCAGCUGGUUAUACGGGCGAAGGCAAAGGCAGAGGUACAAGGAGCUGGGAUCAAAGCAGAGCGAGGCCAACUGGGUGACCACCAGUUUGCAGGGCUCCUGCACCCAAGGGCUCGCUAUCGUAUCCCCUCUUCUGCAGGGGAAGACUGACUUAGAUUCAAACACAGCAAAUUUAGAAUCAAACGUAGCUCUGUUCCUUCUGCCCUGCCUUUGGCAUCUGACGUUAUAUCUGUGUAUUUGAUGCUGUUUCUUUUGACUCAGAAUACUAGGUUUCCUCCUCAGGAACUGGGGCCGACAGACCUAUUUAAUCUUUCAUAUUGGCCACAGUGAUAACUUCUUAUUAAAUAUUUCAUGUUGUUGUACCGAUAAAGAGCAUAAGACAAAACUUGGCAUGAGUACUAUCCAGAAGAGCAUCUGCUUAAAAAUAAAACACUUGGAAGAAUCGGGAAGGAAGUAAGUAGCCAUGUGGUUGGAAAAAAUGAUUCAAUGUAAGCAGGUCAAGCCUAUAAUGAAGUGCUUAUAAACAACAAUAAAAACAUCUGAAC
Molecule: long non-coding RNA, 4860 nt
Organism: Gallus gallus (chicken)
Lineage: Eukaryota; Metazoa; Chordata; Aves; Galliformes; Phasianidae
Source: Ensembl